AGUGAGCGAGGUAUCAAUUCAAGAAUUUUGAGGGCCGAUAUACUAAUCAGGGUAAUAAAUAUGCAUAAAGAUACUGCCAUGGCAUUAAACAUGAUUGCGAACAUGAAUCCUCCGCAAUUUGAACAAGAAAAUCUUCACUAAAAAAUAACAAAUGUUUACGUUCGACUACUUUCCUGCUUCUUCGAGUAUCGUUCUCUGGGGACUUCAAUUGCACGAUAUCCAGCGGUAUGGAAAACGGAAAGCUUACGACCUUGUCUAUGUUCAUCUGCAGCAGCAAAUCGUCCACUGGUUUCCUCUGGCUGUACUCCUUGUACACGUCGUACACGACCGACGAGUAUUUAAAAUCUUUAUACGUGUAAAUUGCGGGAUGAGUGUCGAGAUGUAGCAAAAUUUAUAUUUACUUUAAAAUAAACUAUUAUUCUUAUUCAUA
Molecule: long non-coding RNA, 430 nt
Organism: Wasmannia auropunctata (little fire ant)
Lineage: Eukaryota; Metazoa; Arthropoda; Insecta; Hymenoptera; Formicidae
Exons: 2
Source: RefSeq, a predicted model, not a curated record